Violaceomyces palustris is the source of this 102-nucleotide non-coding RNA. NCBI's taxonomy places the organism in Eukaryota, Fungi, Basidiomycota, Ustilaginomycetes, Violaceomycetales, Violaceomycetaceae. The record is from the annotation of a GenBank genome assembly.
GGUUGUAUGGUCCAAUGGUUAUGACGUCAGAUUCUGACUCUGUCUGAUCGAUCAGGCAACAACGUCUUUCUGAAGACCCGCGUUCGAUUCGCGGUACGACCU